AUGUAUAAGUAAGUAAAUAUAUAAGUAAGUAAAUAUGUAAUAAGUAAAUAUAUAAGUAAGUAAAUAUGUAAUAAGUAAGUAAAUGUAUAAGUAAGUAAAUAUGUAAUAAGUAAAUAUAUAAGUAAAUAUGUAAGAAGUAAGUAAAUGUAUAAGUAAGUAAAAUAUAAAAUAAAUAUGUAAUAAGUAAGUAAAUAUAUAAGUAAACAUGUAAGAAGUAAGUAAAUAUAUAAGUAAAUAUGUAAGAAGUAAGUAAAUGUAUAAGUAAGUAAAUAUGCUAAUAAGUAAAUAUAUAAGUAAAUAUGCAAUAAGUAGGUAAAUAUGUAAUAAGUAAGUAAAUAUAUAAUAAGUAAAUAUAUAAGUAAAUAUGCAAUAAGUAGGUAAAUAUGUAAUAAGUAAGUAAAUGUAUAAGUAAGUAAAUAUGCAAUAAG
Molecule: long non-coding RNA, 428 nt
Organism: Ictalurus punctatus (channel catfish)
Lineage: Eukaryota; Metazoa; Chordata; Actinopteri; Siluriformes; Ictaluridae
Source: Ensembl